Molecule: ribosomal RNA, 1448 nt
Filed under: human gut metagenome
Description: bacterial LSU rRNA
Rfam family: Bacterial large subunit ribosomal RNA
Source: RNAcentral
CGGAGAUAGCUGGUUCUCCUCGAAAUAGCUUUAGGGCUAGCCUCAUGAGAGUCUUAUGGAGGUAGAGCACUGAAUUGCCUAGGGGGCGUCAAAGCUUACCAAAGCAUAUCAAACUCCGAAUGCCAUCAAGAUGAUUCAUGGGAGUCAGACCAUACGAGAUAAGUUGGAUGGUCAAAAGGGAAAGAGCCCAGACCUACAGCUAAGGUCCCAAAGUGCGUGUUAAGUGGAAAAGGAUGUGGGGAUUCUAAGACAACUAGGACGUUGGCUUAGAAGCAGCCAUUCAUUGAAAGAGUGCGUAAUAGCUCACUAGUCGAGAGUCCCUGCGCCGAAAAUGUCCGGGGCUGAAACACGACACCGAAGCUUAGGAAUGUGUAAACAUUGGUAGAGGAGCAUUGCUGGCGGGAUGAAGCCAUACCGUAAGGAGUGGUGGACUGCCAGGAAGAGAGAAUGCCGGAAUGAGUAGCGAGAUGAAGGUGAGAAUCCUUCAGGCCGAAUAUCUAAGGUUUCCAGAGUAAAGCUGAUCUGCUCUGGGUAAGUCGGGACCUAAGGCGAGGUCGAAAGACGUAGUCGAUGGAUAACAGGUUGAAAUUCCUGUACCGCAUAUAAACAGAACUGUGGGGACACAGACAGGGAAUGGAAUCCGGGAAUGGAUAUCCCGGUGCAAGCGAGGUAGGAGUGCUGUUGGCAAAUCCGCAGCACGAUCUGAAGACGUGACGCGUACCGAACAUAAGUAGGGAAGUCCAGGCCCCUGGCUGUCAAGAAAAGCCGCUAUCGUUUUAUAUGUGCCCGUACCGCAAACCGACACAGGUGGAUGAGGAGAGAAUCCUAAGGCCGACGGGAGAAGUAUUGUUAAGGAACUCGGCAAAAUGACUCCGUAACUUCGGGAGAAGGAGUGCCAUGAGAGUGGCCGCAGAGAAAUGGCCCAAGCAACUGUUUAGCAAAAACACAGGUCUAUGCAAAACCGCAAGGUGAAGUAUAUGGGCUGACGCCUGCCCGGUGCUGGAAGGUUAAGGGGAGAGGUUAGCGCAAGCGAAGCUUUGAACUUAAGCCCCAGUAAACGGCGGCCGUAACUAUAACGGUCCUAAGGUAGCGAAAUUCCUUGUCGGGUAAGUUCCGACCCGCACGAAAGGCGUAAUGAUUUGAGCGCUGUCUCGACAAUGCACCCGGUGAAAUUGAAAUACCAGUGAAGAUGCUGGUUACCUGCGCCAGGACGGAAAGACCCCAUGGAGCUUUACUCCAGCUUGAUACUGGGAUUCGGUAUUGCAUGUACAGGAUAGGUGGGAGGCUAAGAAAUGGUAACGCCAGUUGCCAUGGAGCCAAUGUUGGGAUACCACCCUUGCAGUACUGGGUUUCUAACCAGCAGCCGUGAUCCGGCUGGGGGACAAUGUCAGGUGGGGAGUUUGACUGGGGCGGUCGCCUCCGAAAGGGUAUCGGAGGCGCUCAAAGGU